CCAGAUGUUGAUGUUGGCAGCACUUAAGAGGGUCACAGGACGUUUAAAAUCACUAGGCUGUGGUGAAUAAAAUUCCAGAUCAACAGAAGAGAUUCUUGGGUCCUAGAGACCAAAGAAAGAAUCAGCAGGAAUGCCCAGGGUGAAUGAUGGAUUGCAGAGCCUGGCUGGGUGGGUGAUUAUACUCGAGAAUGCACUUAAUUACAAGCUUUAUGUGUCUAGCAUCCAUUCAGCCUACGUCCUCUUCACUGCACCUAACAUCAUCUAUGGAAUUUCAUUUGCAGGUUUUGGGAAGUCUAAAGCUGUCACAUUUGAAAUCUGC
Long non-coding RNA from Apodemus sylvaticus (European woodmouse), 319 nucleotides. RefSeq lists it as uncharacterized. The record is from RefSeq and is a predicted model, not a curated record. Lineage: Eukaryota; Metazoa; Chordata; Mammalia; Rodentia; Muridae. The transcript has 3 exons.